This 324-nucleotide long non-coding RNA is filed under the name Carica papaya (papaya). RNAcentral describes it as "long non-coding RNA (CPAP_LNC015748)". The record is from RNAcentral. Lineage: Eukaryota; Viridiplantae; Streptophyta; Magnoliopsida; Brassicales; Caricaceae.
GUCCGAUCGCGAUUAAAUAGGGAGUGAAUUUGGACUGUUCAUCGCGAUUCAAUCUGAACCGUUCGUGCGCGAUUCAAUCUGGGCCGUCCGUGUGCGCUUCCAAUAUGAGCCGUCCGUGCGCACGGGAACGGACCUUAGCCGUUCGAUCACGUGCACGCGGAUCACCCAUAUGGCUUCCCCCGUAUGGCAUCCCGCGUCAGUGCCUCUGCCACUUGGCGCGUCCUGGUUGGUUGGGGUUGCUGACCGGGCAUCUGACGUGGCACAAUUUUUCUAAAUUAUGUUUUAACUCCUGAUUUUUAAUUUUUCUUUCAAAAAUGCUUGCAG